RNAcentral lists this ribosomal RNA (497 nucleotides) under uncultured bacterium. RNAcentral's name for it is "partial 16S ribosomal RNA". It matches the Rfam family "Bacterial small subunit ribosomal RNA", at positions 28 to 507 of the family's 1533-position model. The record is from RNAcentral.
GAUGAACGCUGGCGGCGUGCCUAAUACAUGCAAGUCGAGCGAACGGACGAGAAGCUUGCUUCUCUGAUGUUAGCGGCGGACGGGUGAGUAACACGUGGAUAACCUACCUAUAAGACUGGGAUAACUUCGGGAAACCGUAGCUAAUACCGGAUAAUAUUUUGAACCGCAUGGUUCAAAAGUGAAAGACGGUCUUGCUGUCACUUAUAGAUGGAUCCGCGCUGCAUUAGCUAGUUGGUAAGGUAACGGCUUACCAAGGCAACGAUGCAUAGCCGACCUGAGAGGGUGAUCGGCCACACUGGAACUGAGACACGGUCCAGACUCCUACGGGAGGCAGCAGUAGGGAAUAUUCCGCAAUGGGCGAAAGCCUGACGGAGCAACGCCGCGUGAGUGAUGAAGGUCUUCGGAUCGUAAAGCUCUGUUAUUAGGGAAGAACAUAUGUGUAAGUAACUGUGCACAUCUUGACGGUACCUAAUCAGAAAGCCACGGCUAACUACGUG